CGGAGGAUCCAAGCGUUAUCCGGAUUCAUUGGGUUUAAAGGGUGCGUAGGCGGAAUAGUAAGUCAGUGGUGAAAUCCUGUCGCUUAACGACAGAACUGCCAUUGAUACUGCUAAUCUUGAGUACAUUUGAAGUGGGCGGAAUGUGUAGUGUAGUGGUGAAAUACUUAGAUAUUACACAGAACACCGAUUGCGAAGGCAGCUCACUAAACUGUAACUGACGCUGAGGCACGAAAGCGUGGGGAUCAAACAGGAUUAGAUACCCUGGUAGUCCACGCUGUAAACGUUGAUAACUCGUUGUUGGCGAUAUACUGUCAGCGACUAAGCGAAAGUGAUAAGUUAUCCACCUGGGGAUACGGUCGCAAGAUUG
Molecule: ribosomal RNA, 367 nt
Filed under: uncultured organism
Description: bacterial SSU rRNA
Rfam family: Bacterial small subunit ribosomal RNA
Source: RNAcentral